GGUGUCAAUCACGCCAAGCUCACCCAGACAAUAAUCCCAGCAGCAAUAGGAAGAGGGCUGCCCCCAACACAAGUUCUCAUGGAGCUGCAGAUGAGUACAGGCAAUUUAAACCGGAAGAACUAAAGCACAGGGAUGCUGUGAUAGAACAGAGGUCUAAAUCAAUUUCUUCAAGAGAGGCUAAUAAUUUGCCAGGGGCAUCAGAUAGAGCUUCCAAAUACAGAUCUGCUGAGAAGCCUACCAAAGUGGAUGAUGGCCAUAUUGGGGAAUUGUCUUUGGAAAGAUCUUCAAGAUCUAAAGCUUCACCCAUGGGCCUGGUGGAUAGAUCUCCUACGUCAUCAAGUAUGGAGUGUAGAUCCAUGAAUAGGUCUGGUGUUAGACGAAGUGUUGACAUCGAAGAAUCAGGGAGGAGGAGUAGUGGUUCCAUGGGUGCAAGAGAUUUGCCUUAUGCUGAUGACAGGUCAAAUCGGGAUUUACCUUUGGAGAAGUCUCUAGCUGAUGAGUCAACUUCAGUUGAUUCAUCCUUUUACAAUAGACAUAGUCAAAGCAACUCUGCUUUGAUUCCUCCAUCUGCUUUCCGAGGUGGAGUUGGCAGCCCUUCUUUUCUUGGUUCACUGGACGAAGAUUGUAGAAUUAAAAGUGGUGCCCGCUACAAGAGGAGUGCUGA
Molecule: unclassified non-coding RNA, 664 nt
Filed under: Hevea brasiliensis (rubber tree)
Lineage: Eukaryota; Viridiplantae; Streptophyta; Magnoliopsida; Malpighiales; Euphorbiaceae
Source: RNAcentral